Molecule: long non-coding RNA, 1369 nt
Organism: Carassius auratus (goldfish)
Lineage: Eukaryota; Metazoa; Chordata; Actinopteri; Cypriniformes; Cyprinidae
Exons: 3
Source: RefSeq, a predicted model, not a curated record
AAAAUCUGUCAGUAGGUUAGUUGUUUAUAGGUUUAUACUGUUUUACUUGAUUGUAUGUCUGUAUUUAUGUAGCACAGUGGUCCUGUGAGGCAUGACAUUUCGUUCCACUGUGUGUCCACACGUAGCGGAAUGACAAUAAAGCUAGACUUGACUUGACUAUUGCACAAUACUGACCAGUUUAGCUACUUUUAGUUGAAAUAGCUUCAUUUGUGUAUGUUUGAGCCAUGUGUUGACUAAUUUGUAAUUUGUCUGAGUUAGAUGUGAUGAAACUAAAGCCGUGAUAACGAACAACCAGCGGUGGAACCCGAAGUCUGGACCUGACGAUUUUCAGCAUGACCAGUCCAGGAACGGCCUUGCUGUUCACCCCCGAGACAGAUUGUGUUCUGGUGGGGGACAGUGAGGGGCAGGUCCCUGUGUACGAGACGAAGAACCUGCCAGAUUGAGGCAGCACACAGAUGGAGAAGUUAGAGGAUGUAAUUCGGUCCACACUGUCCAGUCAACACACAUUAGGAAAGACUGACGGAGACACAUACUGUAGGAGGGUCAGGCUGUUUGUCUUGACCUCUCCAUCAUCAUAAUCUAUAUUCUCUGGCAGACUGAGCGACUCCAUUUACACAACAGUGGGUUUACAGCACAUUGCCUGUUUGUGCCUUAUUGUGCUUCUUUGUAGGAAUAAAUAUACUCCUACAGAACAAUAAGUAAUCUUUUUAGGUAAAUGUCUAAAUCUUGCACUAAAUUAUACUAUGGUGAAUUAUUUGUAAUUUCGAUUAGGUGAAUGUAUUUUUUAAGCGUUUCAAGCGUCAUCAUGGGUACUAUAACAACAUCGCUUUGUUAACUGUUUAACAAAGUAUAAAAUAUAUAUUGUAAAAAAUGAAACCAAAGAAUUUUGGAGAUAACAGGGGUUUGUAUUUCAAACACGUUUGCAUUCAGGCACUGAUUGUUAAGAACACAAUUUCCCCCAAAUAAUAGUCAAAGUACUAUACUGUAUUGUCAUGUGGUAUUGUUUUUUGUUUUCCAUGGGAACCACAGACAGAAUGUAAGUGUUUGUUCUAUGGUAAUGGACACACAGUUCUAUUACCACUUGGCCUCCACACAUUACAGCUUAUCUACAACAUGAGGACCACAUCACACUUUUAGAAAUGACUCAUUAGUGAACUGCUUUUCUCUCUUAACAUCUCUCAAAAUAUCGAUCAUUUGAGCUUUUUAGUACAAAUCAAACAAUUUAGCGAUGAAGAUGCACCUCAUCUUUAACAAGGGGGCUUUUAAAAAGAACAGCUGUGACAUUAUGACAGGAAAUGGAUCCUGCUUGUUUACUAAUGUAUAUUGGACUUUACCCAUAUGGCAUAUGGUCAUUUUAUAUUUUAAAACA